AAACCAACAGGGAUUGCCUUAGUAGCGGCGAGUGAAGCGGCAAAAGCUCAAAUUUGAAAUCUGGCUCUUUCAGAGUCCGAGUUGUAAUUUGAAGAAGGUAUCUUUGGGUCUGGCUCUUGUCUAUGUUUCUUGGAACAGAACGUCACAGAGGGUGAGAAUCCCGUGCGAUGAGAUGAUCCAGGCCUAUGUAAAGUUCCUUCGAAGAGUCGAGUUGUUUGGGAAUGCAGCUCUAAGUGGGUGGUAAAUUCCAUCUAAAGCUAAAUAUUGGCGAGAGACCGAUAGCGAACAAGUACAGUGAUGGAAAGAUGAAAAGAACUUUGAAAAGAGAGUGAAAAAGUACGUGAAAUUGUUGAAAGGGAAGGGCUUGAGAUCAGACUUGGUAUUUUGUAUGUUACUUCUUCGGGGGUGGCCUCUACAGUUUAUCGGGCCAGCAUCAGUUUGGGCGGUAGGAGAAUUGCGUUGGAAUGUGGCACGGCUUCGGUUGUGUGUUAUAGCCUUCGUCGAUACUGCCAGCCUAGACUGAGGACUGCGG
RNAcentral lists this ribosomal RNA (532 nucleotides) under Candida tropicalis. RNAcentral's name for it is "eukaryotic LSU rRNA". It matches the Rfam family "Eukaryotic large subunit ribosomal RNA", at positions 62 to 600 of the family's 3401-position model. The record is from RNAcentral. Lineage: Eukaryota; Fungi; Ascomycota; Pichiomycetes; Serinales; Debaryomycetaceae.